UGGGCAGAAUUCAUGUAGACAGUCAUUGGUUUUUGCAAAUGCCUCUUAUUGGAAAUGUCUUCUGUGGGACCGGUGAAGUUCGCUGAGCUGCUUAUUCUCACCACAGGCUGACUGAGGUCAAGGUGCUGCAAAGGGAUUACUCACUCAUACGGAGCAACUUUCAACAUACAUCAGAAAUUCUCAGUUAUGGAUUAAGUUUUGGCGGCUGGCAGAUGCAAGGACAACUACUGUGGUUGUUUCAAGGAAAGACUGAUUCAGCCAAGACUCUGCAAAGAGACGACAGGCCACUCCUUCAUAUUAAAUGCUUCUGCCUGUAAUUACAGGUCAGAUCUGGCAUCCUGUACACUCCCAUUUUCCAAGGACAAAGCCUUCCCUCUCUUCAAG
Columba livia (rock pigeon) is the source of this 384-nucleotide long non-coding RNA. RefSeq lists it as uncharacterized. The transcript has 3 exons. The record is from RefSeq and is a predicted model, not a curated record. Lineage: Eukaryota; Metazoa; Chordata; Aves; Columbiformes; Columbidae.